RNAcentral lists this ribosomal RNA (496 nucleotides) under uncultured bacterium. RNAcentral's name for it is "partial 16S ribosomal RNA". It matches the Rfam family "Bacterial small subunit ribosomal RNA", at positions 29 to 507 of the family's 1533-position model. The record is from RNAcentral.
AUGAACGCUGGCGGCGUGCCUAAUACAUGCAAGUCGAGCGAACAGAUGAGGAGCUUGCUCCUCUGACGUUAGCGGCGGACGGGUGAGUAACACGUGGAUAACCUACCUAUAAGACUGGGAUAACUUCGGGAAACCGGAGCUAAUACCGGAUAAUAUAUUGAACCGCAUGGUUCAAUAGUGAAAGACGGUUUUGCUGUCACUUAUAGAUGGAUCCGCGCCGCAUUAGCUAGUUGGUAAGGUAACGGCUUACCAAGGCAACGAUGCGUAGCCGACCGGAGUGGGUGACCGGCCACCCUAAGACUGAGACGCGGUCGUAGCUCCAAGGGGAGGCAGAAGUGGGGAAGCUUCCGCAAGGGGCGAAGACCUGACGAAGAACCGACGCGUGAAUAAUGAAGAAUUUCGGAUCGUAAUAAUCUGUUAUAAGGGAAGAAAAAAUGUGUAAGUAACUAUGCCCGUCUUGACGUUACUUAACCAGAAAGCCACGGCUAACUACAUG